Molecule: long non-coding RNA, 318 nt
Filed under: Equus caballus (horse)
Lineage: Eukaryota; Metazoa; Chordata; Mammalia; Perissodactyla; Equidae
Description: lncRNA (ENSECAG00000031075.3)
Source: RNAcentral
CCAUUCUUCUCCCAAGAUAGCUUCACAGGUGAGAGCUGAGGAUUCCAAAGAGCGAAGUGGAUUCUGGCUGAGGCUGAGCCGGUAAUCAGCAUUGUUGGCUUUUUCUGAGUAGGUGCAGAGAGUGAAUGUACAUUCAGAAAUGCUUCGUGGUCCCUGUAUUCCAAGAAAAAAGAGGUUCUACAGGCUCAUGCUCCAACCUCCUUUUCCAGCAGAUCAAGCUGUGCCCAAGAGACCUUGGUUGCAUCUGGACUUGAUUUGGAUGAUGAGAUUCUGUAUCUGAUACCAUAAUGGGAUAAGAACUUGGGAGCUUUGAAGAGG